GGGGACGACGUCAAAUCAUCACUGCCCUUUAUGUCCUGGGCUACACACGUACUACAAUGGCCGUUACAACGGGAAGCGAAGGAGCAAUCCGGAGCAAAUCCCUUAAAGGCGGUCCCAGUUCAGAUUGUGGGCUGAAACUCGCCCACAUGAAGGCGGAAUUGCUAGUAAUUGCAGAUCAGCAUGCUGCAGUGAAUACGUUCCCGGGCCUU
This 209-nucleotide ribosomal RNA is filed under the name uncultured bacterium. RNAcentral describes it as "partial 16S ribosomal RNA". It matches the Rfam family "Bacterial small subunit ribosomal RNA", at positions 1175 to 1382 of the family's 1533-position model. The record is from RNAcentral.